Molecule: ribosomal RNA, 429 nt
Filed under: Bacteroidota bacterium
Lineage: Bacteria; Pseudomonadati; Bacteroidota
Description: Bacteroidetes bacterium partial 16S ribosomal RNA
Rfam family: Bacterial small subunit ribosomal RNA
Source: RNAcentral
UAGGGAAUCUUCGGCAAUGGGGGGAACCCUGACCGAGCAACGCCGCGUGAGUGAAGAAGGUUUUCGGAUCGUAAAGCUCUGUUGUUAAGGAAGAACGAGUGUGAGAAUGGAAAGUUCAUGCUGUGACGGUACUUAACCAGAAAGGACCGGCUAAUUACGUGCCAGCAGCCGCGGUAAUACGUAAGGUCCGAGCGUUGUCCGGAAUCAUUGGGCGUAAAGGGUACGUAGGCGGGUAAGCAAGUUAGAAGUGAAAUCCUGUAGCUCAACUACAGUAAGCUUUUAAAACUGCUCAUCUUGAGUUAUGGAAGGGAAAGUGGAAUUCCUAGUGUAGCGGUGAAAUGCGCAGAUAUUAGGAGGAAUACCGGUGGCGAAGGCGACUUUCUGGCCAUAAUCUGACGCUGAGGUACGAAAGCGUGGGUAGCAAACAGG